This 465-nucleotide ribosomal RNA is filed under the name uncultured bacterium. Its description in RNAcentral is "partial 16S ribosomal RNA". It matches the Rfam family "Bacterial small subunit ribosomal RNA", at positions 28 to 507 of the family's 1533-position model. The record is from RNAcentral.
GACGAACGCUGGCGGCGUGCUUAACACAUGCAAGUCGAACGGAAAGGCCCUGCUUGCAGGGUACUCGAGUGGCGAACGGGUGAGUAACACGUGGGUGAUCUGCCCUGCACUUCGGGAUAAGCCUGGGAAACUGGGUCUAAUACCGGAUAGGAGCCAUUUUUAGUGUGAUGGUUGGAAAGGUUUUUCGGUGUAGGAUGAGCUCGCGGCCUAUCAGCUUGUUGGUGGGGUAAUGGCCUACCAAGGCGGCGACGGGUAGCCGGCCUGAGAGGGUGGACGGCCACAUUGGGACUGAGAGACGGCCCAGACUCCUACGGGAGGCAGCAGUGGGGAAUAUUGCACAAUGGGCGCAAGCCUGAUGCAGCGACGCCGCGUGGGGGAUGACGGCCUUCGGGUUGUAAACUCCUUUCGCUAGGGACGAAGCUUUUUGUGACGGUACCUAGAUAAGAAGCACCGGCUAACUACGUG